GAUGAACGCUGGCGGCGUGCCUAAUACAUGCAAGUCGAGCGAACGGACGAGAAGCUUGCUUCUCUGAUGUUAGCGGCGGACGGGUGAGUAACACGUGGAUAACCUACCUAUAAGACUGGGAUAACUUCGGGAAACCGGAGCUAAUACCGGCUAAUAUUUUGAACCGCAUGGUUCAAAAGUGAAAGACGGUCUUGCUGUCACUUAUAGAUGGAUCCGCGCUGCAUUAUCUAGUUGGUAAGGUAACGGCUUACCAAGGCAACGAUGCAUAGCCGCCCUGAGAGGGUGAUCGGCCACACUGGAACUGAGACACGGUCCAGACUCCUACGGGAGGCAGCAGUAGGGAAUCUUCCGCAAUGGGCGAAAGCCUGACGGAGCAACGCCGCGUGAGUGAUGAAGGUCUUCGGAUCGUAAAACUCUGUUAUUAGGGAAGAACAUAUGUGUAAGUAACUGUGCACAUCUUGACGGUACCUAAUCAGAAAGCCACGGCUAACUACGUG
Molecule: ribosomal RNA, 497 nt
Filed under: uncultured bacterium
Lineage: Bacteria
Description: partial 16S ribosomal RNA
Rfam family: Bacterial small subunit ribosomal RNA
Source: RNAcentral